This 429-nucleotide ribosomal RNA is filed under the name Acidobacteriota bacterium. Its description in RNAcentral is "Acidobacteria bacterium partial 16S ribosomal RNA". It matches the Rfam family "Bacterial small subunit ribosomal RNA", at positions 355 to 776 of the family's 1533-position model. The record is from RNAcentral. Lineage: Bacteria; Pseudomonadati; Acidobacteriota.
UGGGGAAUUUUGGACAAUGGGGGAAACCCUGAUCCAGCCAUCCCGCGUGUGCGAUGAAGGCCUUCGGGUUGUAAAGCACUUUUGGCAGGAAAGAAACGUCAUGGGUUAAUACCCCGUGAAACUGACGGUACCUGCAGAAUAAGCACCGGCUAACUACGUGCCAGCAGCCGCGGUAAUACGUAGGGUGCAAGCGUUAAUCGGAAUUACUGGGCGUAAAGCGUGCGCAGGCGGUUCGGAAAGAAAGAUGUGAAAUCCCAGAGCUCAACUUUGGAACUGCAUUUUUAACUACCGGGCUAGAGUGUGUCAGAGGGAGGUGGAAUUCGGCGUGUAGCAGUGAAAUGCGUAGAUAUGCGGAGGAACACAGAUGGCGAAGGCAGCCUCCUGGGAUAACACUGACGCUCAUGCACGAAAGCGUGGGGAGCAAACAGG